This 529-nucleotide ribosomal RNA is filed under the name Trigonopterus sp. 422 MB-2015. RNAcentral describes it as "partial 16S ribosomal RNA". Lineage: Eukaryota; Metazoa; Arthropoda; Insecta; Coleoptera; Curculionidae. The record is from RNAcentral.
GGUUUAAACUCAGAUCAUGUAAAAUUUUAAAGGUCGAACAGACCUAAAACUUUCUAGCUUCUUCACCAGAAAUAAAUUUUAAUCCAACAUCGAGGUCGCAAACUCUUUUUUCGAUAAAAACUCUAAAAAAAAUUACGCUGUUAUCCCUAAGGUAAUUUAAUCUUAUAAUUUAAACUUUAAAAUCAUCAAACCAUAAAUCAAUGUAAUUAAAUAAAAAAAGUUAAUUUAAUUUUUCUAUCACCCCAACAAAAUACUUUUCUAAUUAAAAAAAAUUAACAUCCUUAACUUAGUUAAUUAUUAAAAUAUCAAAUUCUAUAGGGUCUUCUCGUCUUCUAUAAAUAUUUAAGCUUUUUAACUUAAAAAUAAAAUUUUAAUUAAUUUUAACAGAGACAGAUACUUUUACAUCAAACCUUUCAUUCCAGCUUCCAAUUAAAAAACUAAUGAUUAUGCUACCUUUGCACAGUCAAAUUACUGCGGCCAUUAAAAACCUCAUCGAGCAGGUCAGACUUGAAAUUAUAAUCAACAAGCC